RNAcentral lists this ribosomal RNA (450 nucleotides) under uncultured bacterium. RNAcentral's name for it is "partial 16S ribosomal RNA". It matches the Rfam family "Bacterial small subunit ribosomal RNA", at positions 354 to 796 of the family's 1533-position model. The record is from RNAcentral.
GUGGGGAAUAUUGGACAAUGGGCGAAAGCCUGAUCCAGCCAUGCCGCGUGUGUGAAGAAGGUCUUCGGAUUGUAAAGCACUUUAAGUUGGGAGGAAGGGCAGUAAGUUAAUACCUUGCUGUUUUGACGUUACCGACAGAAUAAGCACCGGCUAACUCUGUGCCAGCAGCCGCGGUAAUACAGAGGGUGCAAGCGUUAAUCGGAAUUACUGGGCGUAAAGCGCGCGGAGGUGGUUCGUUAAGUUGGAUGUGAAAGCCCCGGGCUCAACCUGGGAGCUGAAGCCAAAACUGGCGAGCUAGAGUACGGUAGAGGGUGGUGGAAUUUCCUGUGUAGCGGUGAAAUGCGUAGAUAUAGGAAGGAACACCAGUGGCGAAGGCGACCACCUGGACUGAUACUGACACUGAGGUGCGAAAGCGUGGGGAGCAAGCAGGAUUAGAUACCCCUGUAGUCC